RNAcentral lists this long non-coding RNA (411 nucleotides) under Nicotiana benthamiana. RNAcentral describes it as "long non-coding RNA (NBEN_LNC017855)". The record is from RNAcentral. Lineage: Eukaryota; Viridiplantae; Streptophyta; Magnoliopsida; Solanales; Solanaceae.
GUUAUUUUCACCAUCACCAUACCAACUCCUGCUGCCUUUUUUUCCGGUAUUAAGUAAGUAGUAAGUAAGUGAAGUGGUGAAUUGGCCAUUGGAAAGGAGGAAUAGGGCUCAUUUCACGUAUAUCUAUUUAUUCUACUUUUCUUUUUUUUUUAAGGCAAACCUUUAUGUCAAAGCAACGGUUCUCUCUAACCUUCUCUUACUCGCCUUACUUGAAACCUGUCCAUUUUUCGUACUAAAAACUUCUCACCUCUGUGCCUUCUGUACUUCUCGGCUCAAGCAAGAGCCACAGUGACUGGAACAAGAGUAAAGCCACCUUAAUCAGUCAAGCAAGCAAUUUGAAUAGGGAUUAUGAACAGGCUCUUACCCGUUCGAUUGAUUGUUCUAAAGUCGAAUUGAAAGGUAGGUUUUGUC